Molecule: ribosomal RNA, 239 nt
Filed under: uncultured bacterium
Lineage: Bacteria
Description: partial 16S ribosomal RNA
Rfam family: Bacterial small subunit ribosomal RNA
Source: RNAcentral
CGAGUGGCGGACGGGUGAGUAAUGUCUGGGAAACUGCCCGAUGGAGGGGGAUAACUACUGGAAACGGUAGCUAAUACCGCAUAACGUCGCAAGACCAAAGAGGGGGACCUUAGGGCCUCUUGCCAUCGGAUGUGCCCAGAUGGGAUUAGCUAGUAGGUGGGGUAACGGCUCACCUAGGCGACGAUCCCUAGCUGGUCUGAGAGGGUGACCAGCCACACUGGAACUGAGACACGGUCCAG